AGAGCUUUUAUUUCAGUUUUUAUUGUUUAGGGCAUUGAAAUCAUUAAAGGUAAAAGUUUAAUUUUGUUGACUCCUGGUGAAAUUUUGAUUGUUCAGAGAGUUUCCUUCAGAUUCACAUCAGUUUUGAAAGUAUUGGUAGUUAUAUUAUACGCCACAUUUAAUAUUAUAAGCUAUCUGAAGUCAGUUUAUUCCAUUUUUGGAGAGGUUAACUUACAGCUCUAUUAAGCCUCACAAUUUGUCACAUUUCUUAUGUCUUUGGUUUGAAAUAAUCAUUGAGAGUAUGUUAAUUUAUAUUUUUCUCUCUUCCCUAUGUAUUUUUGCUGUGAUAUACAUAAAUUAUUUGUUUGGCACCUUUAAUUUCCUUCUACAAUUUCAAAUUUAAUUGAACCCUUGGAUCUAAAUUUGCAACUCAUUUUUUUCUUUGUCAGUUAUUGUACUAUUAAUGUAUCUCCAAACCCUCCAAAAUACAUCUUCUACCUCUAUAGGAAGUUGCCAUGUUUCUGUGUCCUGUUUUCUUUUCCCCCUCAAAGUUUUUUAUUUUUUAAUUUUUUUUUGGAUGUUCUUGUUGUUAAUGGGAAUUGAACUUAGGGACACUCAAGCACUGAGCCACAUUCCCAGCCCUUGUUCAUAUUAUUUUAUGUUGAGUCAAGGUCUAGCUGAAUUGCUGAGGCUGGCUUUGGACUUGGGAUUCCCCCGACUCAGCCUCCCAAGCUGCUGUGAUUACAGGUGUGAGCCACCACACCUGGCUUCAAAGUUUGUUACAUUGAUUGAUCUUCAUUUUCUUCAUUAUAAGGAAUGUUAUGUGAUUUUCCUGACUUCACAACAAGGCAUAAUUUUAAUCUGAAUUUCCGCAUUAUUUUCCUUGACUUUAAAAAUAAUUUUUAUGUUUUUUCACUUUUUGUAUUUUUUGAUCAUUACAUAAGUCAUACAUAUAUUCUACUUCAUGUUUUAAGCAUUACACAAAUUUAGAAUCCCCUGAAGAAUGUACACUAUUUACUUGCUUUUACAUCU
Molecule: long non-coding RNA, 1011 nt
Filed under: Marmota monax (woodchuck)
Lineage: Eukaryota; Metazoa; Chordata; Mammalia; Rodentia; Sciuridae
Source: RNAcentral